UGCCGCGUGAGUGAAGAAGGCCUUCGGGUUGUAAAGCUCUUUCGGACAGAAAGAAAUCGCACGGGUAAAUAAUUCGUGUGGAUGACGGUACUGUAAGAAGAAGCACCGGCUAACUACGUGCCAGCAGCCGCGGUAAUACGUAGGGUGCGAGCGUUAAUCGGAAUUACUGGGCGUAAAGCGUGCGCAGGCGGUUGCAUAAGACAGAUGUGAAAUCCCCGGGCUUAACCUGGGAACUGCGUUUGUGACUGUGUAACUGGAGUACGGCAGAGGGGGGUGGAAUUCCUGGUGUAGCAGUGAAAUGCGUAGAUAUCAGGAGGAACACCGAUGGCGAAGGCAGCCCCCUGGGCCUGUACUGACGCUCAUGCACGAAAGCGUGGGGAGCAAACAGGAUUAGAUACCCUGGUAGUCCACGCCCUAAACGAUGUCGACUAGUUGUUCGGGAAGGUGACUUCUUGAGUAACGAAGCUAACGCGUGAAGUCGACCGCCUGGGGAGUACGGUCGCAAGAUUAAAACUCAAAGGAAUUGACGGGGACCCGCACAAGCGGUGGAUGAUGUGGAUUAAUUCGAUGCAACGCGAAAAACCUUACCUACACUUGACAUGUCUGGAAGUCUGCAGAGAUGCG
This 624-nucleotide ribosomal RNA is filed under the name Uliginosibacterium sp. Se1Ps_1948. RNAcentral describes it as "bacterial SSU rRNA". It matches the Rfam family "Bacterial small subunit ribosomal RNA", at positions 395 to 1010 of the family's 1533-position model. Lineage: Bacteria; Pseudomonadati; Pseudomonadota; Betaproteobacteria; Rhodocyclales; Zoogloeaceae. The record is from RNAcentral.